GGAGGGAUACCCAAGUGGCUAAAGGGGGCAGACUGUAAAUCUGUUGGCAUUUGCCUUCGCUGGUUCGAAUCCAUCUCCCUCCA
RNAcentral lists this transfer RNA (83 nucleotides) under Thermoanaerobacterium thermosaccharolyticum DSM 571. It matches the Rfam family "tRNA". From Rfam's summary of the family: Transfer RNA (tRNA) molecules are approximately 80 nucleotides in length. Their secondary structure includes four short double-helical elements and three loops (D, anti-codon, and T loops). Lineage: Bacteria; Bacillati; Bacillota; Clostridia; Thermoanaerobacterales; Thermoanaerobacteraceae. The record is from Rfam by way of RNAcentral. RNAcentral also lists the same sequence under 1 other name.